GGGAUUGCCYUAGGACCGCWGACAGAAGCGGCAACAGCUCAAAUKUGAAAUCUGGCGCAAGCCCGAGUUGUARUUURUAGAGGAUGCUUCUGGCCAGCGGCCGUUYUAAGUUCCUUGGAACAGGACGUCAUAGAGGGUGAGAAUCCCGUAUGUGACCGGCGCGCAGCCUUUACGUAGCUCCUUCGACGAGUCGAGUUGUUUGGGAAUGCAGCUCUAAAUGGGAGGUAAAUUUCUUCWAAAGCUAAAUACCGGCCAGAGACCGAUAGCGCACAAGUAGAGUGAUYGAAAGAUGAAAAGCACUUUGGAAAGAGAGUUAAAAAGCACGUGAAAUUGUUGAAAGGGAAGCGCUUGCAACCAGACUUCGUAGCGAUGUUCCGCCGGUCUUCUGACCGGUCUACUCAUCGUCGCGAGGCCAACAUSGGKSUGGGGCCGCCGGAUAAGACCUAAGGGAAUGUKAGCYUUUYCGAGGA
This 470-nucleotide ribosomal RNA is filed under the name Exutisphaerella laricina. RNAcentral's name for it is "partial 28S ribosomal RNA". It matches the Rfam family "Eukaryotic large subunit ribosomal RNA", at positions 71 to 553 of the family's 3401-position model. The record is from RNAcentral. Lineage: Eukaryota; Fungi; Ascomycota; Dothideomycetes; Mycosphaerellales; Mycosphaerellaceae.